CGCGCUGCCCUGCCCGCGACUCCGGUGCGAAGGAUCAGCUGGCCGUCGGAGGCAUCCAUGGUCCACAACGCGUCGCUCACACGACGACUGUAUUCAGACGAUCUGUCGG
This 109-nucleotide small RNA is filed under the name Mycobacterium decipiens. RNAcentral's name for it is "Mycobacterium sp. TBL 1200985 AS1890 sRNA". It matches the Rfam family "AS1890 sRNA". The record is from Rfam by way of RNAcentral. Lineage: Bacteria; Bacillati; Actinomycetota; Actinomycetes; Mycobacteriales; Mycobacteriaceae.